UACAGAGGGGGCAAGCGUUGUUCGGAAUUACUGGGCGUAAAGGGCGCGUAGGCGGCCUGUUAAGUCGAACGUGAAAUCCCCGGGCUCAACCCGGGAACUGCGUCCGAUACUGGCAGGCUUGAAUCCGGGAGAGGGAUGCGGAAUUCCAGGUGUAGCGGUGAAAUGCGUAGAUAUCGUAAGGAAGACCAGCGGCGAAGGCGGGUCUCUGGACAGUUCCUGACGCUGAGGCACGAAGGUCAGGGGAGCAAACGGG
RNAcentral lists this ribosomal RNA (253 nucleotides) under uncultured bacterium. RNAcentral's name for it is "partial 16S ribosomal RNA". It matches the Rfam family "Bacterial small subunit ribosomal RNA", at positions 524 to 776 of the family's 1533-position model. The record is from RNAcentral.